UUCAGCUUAUGGCUGAAUAUUGUUCUAUUUAUAUGCAGAACAGGUAAAGUUUAGACAGUUGCAGAACAAGCAUUACCACACUCUGCUAAUGUGUCUGUACCCUGACCUGGAGGGAUCUUGCCCUGGGAUGAAAGGAUAGUUUCUUCUCCAUGCACAUUCAGUCCUUGGGUUCU
Molecule: unclassified non-coding RNA, 173 nt
Organism: Chelonoidis abingdonii (Abingdon island giant tortoise)
Lineage: Eukaryota; Metazoa; Chordata; Testudines; Testudinidae
Source: Ensembl